AGAGUUUGAUCCUGGCUCAGGACGAACGCUGGCGGCGUGCCUAACACAUGCAAGUCGAACGGAGUUAAGACUUCGGUUUUAACUUAGUGGCGAACGGGUGAGUAACGCGUGAGAAACCUGCCUUUCAGUGGGGGACAACAGUUGGAAACGACUGCUAAUACCGCAUAAUGUUAUUUGGGGGCAUCCCUGAAUAACCAAAGAUUUAUUGCUGAAAGAUGGUCUCGCGUCUGAUUAGCUAGUUGGUGAGGUAACGGCUCACCAAGGCGACGAUCAGUAGCCGGUCUGAGAGGAUGAACGGCCACAUUGGGACUGAGAUACGGCCCAGACUCCUACGGGAGGCAGCAGUGGGGAAUAUUGGGCAAUGGGGGAAACCCUGACCCAGCAACGCCGCGUGAAGGAAGAAGGCCUUCGGGUUUGUAAACUUCUUUUACCAGGGACGAAGAAAUGACGGUACCUGGAGAAAAAGCAACGGCUAACUACGUGCCAGCAGCCGCGGU
Molecule: ribosomal RNA, 497 nt
Filed under: uncultured bacterium
Lineage: Bacteria
Description: bacterial SSU rRNA
Rfam family: Bacterial small subunit ribosomal RNA
Source: RNAcentral